Molecule: long non-coding RNA, 910 nt
Filed under: Sus scrofa (pig)
Lineage: Eukaryota; Metazoa; Chordata; Mammalia; Artiodactyla; Suidae
Description: lncRNA (ENSSSCG00070023382.1)
Source: RNAcentral
GGCAUCAGGAAAGAUGGCUGAAUGUUUUCUCCAUUUUCUGAUGGCCAAAAGGAAUACAGGAACCACAGUACCUAGCACAGAACAGAAAUUCUGCUUCUUGCUGAAGAAUACAUUACCGGUGAUGAAAGACUUACUUCGCUCUUCCUUGAGUGAUGCACUGGGGAGAUUAUCUUGUAAACUGAGUGAAAGGGCUGCCAGACACCAUCUCCUAGAAAUGCCUGGAAGAGACAUGAGCUAAGAGGAAAAUAGCAAGUGUUGAAAGAGAGACCUGCCAGCCUGCAUCAAAUCAACACUCCCAACCUGGGCUCCUCACCUGACUUGGUAAGUUCAGUCUGCUGGCAAAUCAUACACCAUAAUUAACUGUCCUUAAUUCUGACAAACAUUUUAUGGGCCCACAGGGUCUGGAGAGAAAAUCAUUAGCUUCACCAACUAAUUUUCAGUUAAUCAGCAACAGUUCAUUCAACAGAGCACUAAUAGGGCAGCCUUGAUUAGAAGUAUAGGGAUAUGAUAUUAAUUGGCUUUUUCUAAUAGAGAUGAGGAUGCUAAAUAGAAAUGACCAUCUGUAGCUCUGGUAAGGAAACACUUGUAAAACACUUUUUGAAGGUAAAUGAUAAAACAAGAAUAUUUUUAAAUUUUUAAAGUCAGUCUACAAACUAUUUUGUGUUUCUUUUGUCAUUAUUUCUUUGAUUUUUUUCCCUUCAGAAACAAAAAACUUUUUUGAAAAAUAUUUUUUAAGUGACAUAUACAAAUGGUAAAGAUAUGCGCUCUUCAACCACAUCUUUUAGGUUUUGACUUGGGGACACAGUUUAGGAAUAUUGAAUAUAUGUGGUGAUAAAAUCUAUAUAUAUAUGUAUAUUUGUGUAUAUUUAUAUCCUAGCAGACCACUGAAUAAAUGGAAUUUCCUGGGCCA